GAACGACCGACAAUAUUACGAGGCUUUACUUCACCACCGCAUGUCGAGACGCUCAAGGCAUCCUCAGCUCGGAUUUUGGCCAACCGCAUGCGGUAACACACGGGAGACCAGCUUCCGUCCUUUCUCCGAAAAGGAUGGGGACGACGUUUUGUGACACCCAGGCARACGUGCCCUCGGCCAGAAGGCUUGGGGCGCAACUUGCGUUCAAAGACUCGAUGGUUCGCGGGAUUCUGCAAUUCACACCAAGUAUCGCAUUUCGCUACGUUCUUCAUCUAUGCGAGAGCCGAAAUAUCCGUUGCCGAGAGUCKUUAUAUACUUUAUAUUGCACCACAGCUUCCGCACACAACCCGUCUCCAGGGUGGCCAAGGCCGGCUGUUUAAUUGCAUGUUCCUUGACACUUUUCGUGCCGGGGUUUUGUGAUAUCCGGAAGCUACGCGCAUAACCCAUAACGGAAAAUACACGAAACCACGGAAUCCGCAAGCUCGAGAUCAGAUAASAACCCGGCUUACCGAGAGUGAKGAUCAGUGGUUCGCGGGUUGUUCUGUUUUGGACAGGUGACGACWAUGAUCCUUCCGCAGGUUCACCUACGGAAACCUUGUUACAACUU
This 607-nucleotide unclassified non-coding RNA is filed under the name Aubrieta parviflora. Its description in RNAcentral is "sequence contains ITS1, 5.8S rRNA gene and ITS2". Lineage: Eukaryota; Viridiplantae; Streptophyta; Magnoliopsida; Brassicales; Brassicaceae. The record is from RNAcentral.